GUCACCCAGAGGCCUCUAGAUGUUUGAUUCCAAAAUAGUUCACCCGUGUCACUGUUUUACAGUCAUUCUCCUGGGGACUCCUGGAACCUGGCACUGAGAGGUCAUCGUCACCAGCUUCCGGUCACACCCUUGGCUUCAUUUUCUCAGGCGACUUCUGUCUCUUUCACUCGCCUUCUGACCACGUGGCCUCCCAGCUCUUCUGCCUCAGCUCCUGAUAGCUCAUGCCCCACAACUGGCUCUUCCCUGUGGUUCCUGUUUUUAUUUUACAUUCGGUGGUGACUGCUGGCCCCAUUAUUACCACAUACAAAGUCUUUCUGCAUGAAGUAUACAGGCUAAAUCACUAGACUUAGGAAAAUAGAAAAUUUUAAUUUUAAUCACGGGCACUGUGGAUGUUGAAGUCUGCUUCCUGCUGAACUUUGCAUGAUGUUCGUUCUAUUGGAAGCAGCGUGCCAGAUUAGAGCUGAACAGAAAACGCUGAGGGUGAGUGGAGGUGUAAUCUGGGCCAUGUGGAGCCUGCAGCCUCCUGUCCUCAGUCUCCAGAGGAGCAUGUGUGCACCUCCACGCAAGUCCGUAGCUUGCCAGAGCCCGAAAGCAAGGCCUGGGGAGGUCAGUUCGGAUCCUGCUGGCUGUCCAGGGUCUCAGCCACCCAGCUGGCCAUGCACCCCCUCCACCCCACCCAGGCGCCCUGGUGACUCUCCCUGAUUGGGUCCUGCUGAGGAGCCCUCUCUGGGUGCCAUUGUCUGGAUCCUGUGUCCUCCAAGGAAUCUAGUGUUGAAGGCUUGGUCCCCAGCCUGGUGUCUGGAGGUGGGGGACAUUUAGGGGGCCAGUUGGCAGGUCUUUAGGUCCCUGGGGGAUCGGGGCCCCGCCCCUGCUCUGCUGUUUUGUGUGAGGCCAGCAGUUUUGCUCUGCCCUGAGCUUCUGGGUGAAGGGUCACCUGGCCACAGGGACAGAGCCGUGGGGCCCACUGGUCAUGACCGCAACUUCCAGAGCUGAGCCAACAUGAGUGAUUGUCUCCGGUGCCUGCGUGGCCACGUGAAGCUGACCGACGCCGCAGGUUGUCUGUGUCUGCCGGAGGCCUGCGGGAAGGAACUGGACCCUGUUGCUGUCCCUAACAGCGGCCUGCGUGAUUUCUACAUGGAUGAACAAGACUGGGGACUCAUUUACAGACAGGGUCCAAACUCCAUUUUCUGAGACAAAUCUAGUGGCGGUCCUGAGCCUUCGAGACUCCGUGUGCAUGGUGGAGGAGUUGGUCAGUCUCCUGGGGACGCCUGAGACAAGCUUUCUGCUCUGGACACGAGGCUGGAGGUGAGCUCCACCUGGCUUGUUUCUGAGUCCCAUGGAAGCUCAGCCGCCGGCUCAGCCUGACGCUCGUCUCUGCCGGCAGGACAAUGAGGCUGCCUUCCCCACACACGGCCGCACUGGAGCCCACCUGGGCCCCUGAGCGCAGAACUGGGGUUUCACUUGGAACCUCGCUUUUGCACCUGGGCACUUGCUGGGAUCUGGUGGUGUGAUGGCGGCAUUCUCAGCUGGCAGUGUCACCCUAUGCCACCUAUUCCAUGGGCCAACUGAAGAGGUGAAGGCGGUACCCCUAUUACAACCAAGGAGCUGCCAGCUCCGGAGCCAUCCACUAGCCAUGGAACCCUCUGACAGCUGACCGCUCAGCUCAGCUGGCCAGAAGCCAGGUCCAUUCCUGUCAAAACGUCCACGUGGCCUGGGAGAGACCGGGGCACCUGACUUGUGGUACUGCUGACAAAUUUCUGCUGUGAGCCUGAAAAUGAGGGGAAUCAAAAUGGGCCUUUCCCCUCUAGCCGGCCCCCCGCCGACUCUUGACCCAGUACCAGCAAACCAUCCCAGGACUUCAGAACAGGCCCUUCCCGGACGUGAUCACUUAGGGUGAGGGCACUGACCCAGGGUGGCCUUUUGUCCAAUGCGACAGCAUCC
This is a non-coding RNA of Ictidomys tridecemlineatus (thirteen-lined ground squirrel), 1941 nucleotides long. The record is from RefSeq and is a predicted model, not a curated record. Lineage: Eukaryota; Metazoa; Chordata; Mammalia; Rodentia; Sciuridae.